This is a long non-coding RNA of Hemicordylus capensis (graceful crag lizard), 438 nucleotides long. RefSeq lists it as uncharacterized. The transcript has 3 exons. Lineage: Eukaryota; Metazoa; Chordata; Lepidosauria; Squamata; Cordylidae. The record is from RefSeq and is a predicted model, not a curated record.
GAUUUUGGUUUUUGGAUGUGGUGGUUAUUAGGGGUAGGAUAAAGGAAAGGAGAAUAAAAAGAGAGAGGGAAAGGGAUGGGAGUAGGAGAAGAAAUAUUGAAACAGUCUGUAAUAAUUAAAAAUAGAUGUUGUGGACUUUCCAACAAGCAUGAGGAGCUGAAGGAAAGGAAAAGGCUUCAAACCUUUGUGGGCAGAAACGAGUGAGACUGGACAUUCACCUUGGAGCACCAGGCAUGCUGUAUUUGUUAGAUUUGGAGUGGAGAUCAUUUAUCUACCCCACUCGCAGCGGAAGUGCACAACUAAGGAGAACACUGCUAAUUAACUUUGUCUGGAGACAUGGAGUUAAAAUUACCUGCCAAAUCUGGCUGCCUCACCUGGAUGGUUUCCCCCAAAACCUCACCUGGGAGCAGCACCUACUGCCUUGAUUUUCCUUGUUCC